Molecule: ribosomal RNA, 305 nt
Filed under: uncultured bacterium
Lineage: Bacteria
Description: bacterial SSU rRNA
Rfam family: Bacterial small subunit ribosomal RNA
Source: RNAcentral
UUGCACCUACGGGGGGCAGCAGUGAGGAAUAUUGGUCAAUGGUCGGGAGACUGAACCAGCCAAGCCGCGUGAGGGAGGAAGGUACAGAGUAUCGUAAACCUCUUUUGUCAGGGAGCAAUUGGCGCUACGUGUAGCGUUAUCGAGAGUACCUGAAGAAAAAGCAUCGGCUAACUCCGUGCCAGCAGCCGCGGUAAUACGGAGGAUGCGAGCGUUAUCCGGAUUUAUUGGGUUUAAAGGGUGCGUAGGCGGAAUGCCAAGUCAGCGGUAAAAUCGCGGGGCUCAACCUCGCUCCGCCGUUGAAACUG